CAGUGACUAGUCUAAUAAAGACAGCUAGCUUCGGCCUAGCAAAUCCCAGAUCAACUUUGGGGUCACUUU
RNAcentral lists this transfer RNA (69 nucleotides) under Ptyodactylus guttatus (Sinai fan-fingered gecko). Its description in RNAcentral is "tRNA-Arg". Lineage: Eukaryota; Metazoa; Chordata; Lepidosauria; Squamata; Phyllodactylidae. The record is from RNAcentral.